Molecule: long non-coding RNA, 2249 nt
Filed under: Triticum aestivum (bread wheat)
Lineage: Eukaryota; Viridiplantae; Streptophyta; Magnoliopsida; Poales; Poaceae
Description: long non-coding RNA (TAES_LNC006200)
Rfam family: Small nucleolar RNA Z112 (bases 898-1082)
Source: RNAcentral
GUCGCUAUGGUCUGGGAGGGCAAGAGCGUCGUCUCCACUGGACGCAAGAUCAUUGGCGCCACCAACCCCCUGGCCUCUGAGCCCGGCACCAUCCGUGGUGACUUCGCCGUCGACAUCGGCAGGUGAGAUUUUACCCUGAAGUUGUCAGUGAGAAAGUAGUUAUUAAGUUGAAUAGUGUAUAGCUUAUCCUGAUUGCGUGUUACCGUGCCUUUAAUAUUCAUUUCAAAAAUCCGCAUACUUGAAUGUGUAGUGUAGAUACUAUGCUCAUGUAGUUAAUUAGAAGAUAAGAUUGUGUUGCAGACUACUUAUUCGGCUCAGUCAAAUCAAAUAUUUGAUGUCGUCUGAGUUAUUUAGCCUGUUGAGGCUUAGUGGAAACUAAGGCAACUAAGUCUAAAUCGUCUAAAAGAGGAAACACCUUGUGCUUUUUACAUGAAUUGUUCAGUUCAUAAAAUCUUGUUUGCGUUAUUUGUUGAUUUAUUCAGACUCUAGUCGUUUCAUUGUAGGACAGAACUUAUGGCUCAUGGUUUUUGUAUGUGUGCACUUCAGUCAUUCAUGUAUGAUUUGGAGUAGAGGAUUGGCUUGUGAUGAUUCAGGUCCGAAAGGAUCUUAGCGGAUUUCGGUGAGGCAGAUUUGUCUGUCAUUGAUCGAUUCAUGUUGUUACACACACUGAAGCCUUUCUGUAAUCUAUUUCAUUGAUUUUGUCUUGGUUUUCAUUCAUUUUUUCUGCGAUGCGAUGAUGAUUCAUAUAGGUUUUUGGCAGUAGUGGCAUCCGUCACUGUGAGCCUUCAAACCAAAAACGACUUCUCUUUCCACUGAGCAUUGCUUUAUUCCACUUGGUCCUCCCGGUUACAUAUUGUGAGAUGGUUUUUGCUUUUAUGUCUUUAUAUAAUGCAUCUUGUCUUGUUGAAGAGCUCUAGACCAUAGGAAGUGCCGUAUGACACUGUAAACAGCAGCUGUUUCUCUGCUGCUGUAAGUGUCCAUCCUCAUAUCAUAACCUUUGUGGUUUUGUCUGGGAUGGAAUUACCCAUUUGCACCGGCUUGAUUCAGCUGUGUGCUUGAUUUUAAACGGGUCUCUGAGGGAUUUCUGCAAUGCUUUCUAGUCUUCUUUCUCUUAACUAGAUUAUAUUGUCAAUAUUUUCUUGAUUUUGCUUGGGCCCGAUGCCACGUCUCCAUUAGCGACAAGCCUUGACUGGAGAUGCUACAUUGUGCCGAGAGAGAGUUCUUGGACUUCUCACAUUUGAUAGGAACCUGUGGCUGUGAUUCAGUCGGUGCACAGAGCCGUUUUUUUGUGAUUACACUUCUUGACUGCAUAGCCAUAAAAUAUAUUUCUUGUAGUUGUUUUUGAAAUUUGGGGAAUUCAAAUGGUGAUGAUGAUAGAACUAAGGCUUGUUUCUCAAAACAUUCGCAGUUGCCGCCUAAGAGCUUUCGCCCUGCCAGGCUUGAGAGCUAAUGCUGCCAAUUCCUUCCUUGGAUGUCUGAGCCAUGUUGAUUUUCUUUGUUCUUAAUCUUCUCUUUUGAUAUCAGAAAAAUAUUACUCCCUCCGUUCACUUUUGUAAGUCGUUUCAGACAACACAAAAUAGGUUGUUUUGCACAUUGUCUGAAAUGUCUUCAAGGUCUUAUAAAAAUGAACGGAGGGAGUACAAUGUUGUAGGCCAUGAGUGCACUUGAACCUGCUGUGUAUUGAUGGCCUGUUUAACACUAGUGUCUCCCUUCGUAUCACUAUGUAUUGUGCUAUCUGGUUGCAUUCUAAAAUUUUUAUCUGCAUCAUCCAGGAACGUCAUCCAUGGAAGCGACUCAGUUGAGAGUGCCAGGAAGGAGAUCGCCCUGUGGUUCCCUGAGGGCAUUGCCGAGUGGAGGAGCAGCCAGCACAACUGGAUCUACGAGGCCUAAGAUGUGUCAUGAGUGGUUGAGUGCAGGUUUCGCAAAGCAUCUACCAAACUAGUCUUUGGUUGUUUACAGUUUUGAGAUUUGUAUCUCGGGAACCUUGUUUGUGUGAACUGAAGUUAUCUCCUUGUGCUUGAGCAUGCAAGCGGUAUCUGCUGCUCUAUAUUUACUAUAUGGUAUUGAGUUGCAUUUCAUGUUUUGGUUGUGGCUUUGCCAUGAUAUUUACAGCAAAUUGGUGUGCUUAAUUUUGUUGAUGCACACUCAAUGUUAUAGAAGUGUGUUAGCGAAAACUAUUAACAUCGUUAACAGCAUUGGCAUUGUAGAUGUUAAAGGCAAUAUGUAAAGACAUGACUCUGGGGAACUCC